Arachis stenosperma is the source of this 498-nucleotide long non-coding RNA. RefSeq lists it as uncharacterized. Lineage: Eukaryota; Viridiplantae; Streptophyta; Magnoliopsida; Fabales; Fabaceae. The record is from RefSeq and is a predicted model, not a curated record. The transcript is spliced from 3 exons.
CAAUUCUUCUUCCAGCUGAAUCCACCACUUCCAUGGUUUUCGAGCUUGAAUUUGCCAUGGCAGAUUUAAACAUUUCCAAGUUUCAGUCACAUCUGGGCACUCCCAGAAACAAUGAAAAACGCUUUCUUGUGACCGAUUGCAUUUUGGGCACCAGGGUUCGAUGGAUUGUAUUCGAGCGUUCAACCUUUCUUUCACAGGGAGUCCUCCGUGCAUCAGUUUUCAGAGUAUUCAGUUGGUGGGUGGUAGAAGUUAAAGGCUAUUUUGUAUCCUGAAGCAAUAGUGAAGCCGCCCCCUUUCUCCAACAUCUAGAGACAGGACACGGAGACAUGGACAGCACAUUCUUAGAAAGCGUUUGGAAGUAAAGACAUGGACACUGAACAUAUUGUCUCCGGGACAGUUUUUUAUACUUUUGUGUCCACUCUUUUACGAAGGACAAUGAUGGACACGGGAUUUGGAAGAGGGACACGGACUGUUUUUAUGAAUUUUUUUUCUUUUUUG